UACGUAGGGGGCGAGCGUUGUCCGGAUUUAUUGGGCGUAAAGAGCGUGUAGGCGGUUCGGCAAGUCUGUCGUGAAAUCCUGAGGCUCAACCUCGGGCGUGCGAUGGAUACUGCCGGGCUAGAGGGUGGUAGAGGCGAGUGGAAUUCCGGGUGUAGUGGUGAAAUGCGCAGAUAUCGGGAGGAACACCAAUGGCGAAGGCAGCUCGCUGGGACGUUACUGACGCUGAGACGCGAAAGCGUGGGGAGCAAACAGG
RNAcentral lists this ribosomal RNA (253 nucleotides) under uncultured bacterium. Its description in RNAcentral is "partial 16S ribosomal RNA". It matches the Rfam family "Bacterial small subunit ribosomal RNA", at positions 524 to 776 of the family's 1533-position model. The record is from RNAcentral.